RNAcentral lists this ribosomal RNA (484 nucleotides) under uncultured bacterium. Its description in RNAcentral is "partial 16S ribosomal RNA". It matches the Rfam family "Bacterial small subunit ribosomal RNA", at positions 30 to 507 of the family's 1533-position model. The record is from RNAcentral.
AUUGAACGCUGGCGGCAGGCCUAACACAUGCGAGUCGAGCGGAUGAAGGGAGCUUGCUCCUGGAUUCAGCGGCGGACGGGUGAGUAAUGCCUAGGAAUCUGCCUGGUAGUGGGGGAUAACGUCCGGAAACGGGCGCUAAUACCGCAUACGUCCUGAGGGAGAAAGUGGGGGAUCUUCGGACCUCACGCUAUCAGAUGAGCCUAGGUCGGAUUAGCUAGUUGGUGGGGUAAAGGCCUACCAAGGCGACGAUCCGUAACUGGUCUGAGAGGAUGAUCAGUCACACUGGAACUGAGACACGGUCCAGACUCCUACGGGAGGCAGCAGUGGGGAAUAUUGGACAAUGGGCGAAAGCCUGAUCCAGCCAUGCCGCGUGUGUGAAGAAGGUCUUCGGAUUGUAAAGCGCUUUAAGUUGGGAGGAAGGGCAGUAAGUUAAUACCUUGCUGUUUUGACGUUACCAACAGAAUAAGCACCGGCUAACUUCGUG